CCUACGGGAGGCAGCAGUGGGGAAUAUUGGACAAUGGGCGAAAGCCUGAUCCAGCAAUUCCGCGUGUGUGAAGAAGGCCUUCGGGUUGUAAAGCACUUUAGUGGGGGAAGAAACAGCUUGGCCACACCAAGCCUUGACGGUACCCCAAGAAUAAGCACCGGCUAACUCUGUGCCAGCAGCCGCGGUAAUACAGAGGGUGCAAGCGUUAAUCGGAUUUACUGGGCGUAAAGGGUGCGUAGGUGGCUAUUUAAGUCGGAUGUGAAAGCCCGGGGCUCAACCUCGGAAUUGCAUUCGAUACUGAGUGGCUAGAGUUCGGUAGAGGGCGGCGGAAUUUCCGGUGUAGCGGUGAAAUGCGUAGAUAUCGGAAGGAACAUCAAUGGCGAAGGCAGCCGCCUGGGCCUGGACUGACACUGAGGCACGAAAGCGUGGGUAGCAAACAGGAUUAGAUACCCUGGUAGUCCACGCCGUAAACGAUGAGAACUUGACGUUGGUUCGUUUUACGAAUCGGUGUCGCAGCUAACGCGAUAAGUUCUCCGCCUGGGGAGUCGGCCGCAAGGUUGAAACUUAAAGGAAUUGACGGNUUGAGAGUUGCGAGCGCGACGAGGGAGAGG
RNAcentral lists this ribosomal RNA (611 nucleotides) under uncultured bacterium. Its description in RNAcentral is "bacterial SSU rRNA". It matches the Rfam family "Bacterial small subunit ribosomal RNA", at positions 338 to 943 of the family's 1533-position model. The record is from RNAcentral.